UACGUAGGGUGCGAGCGUUAAUCGGAAUUACUGGGCGUAAAGCGUGCGUAGGUGGUUCGUUGUGUCUGUGGUGAAAGCCCCGGGCUUAACCUGGGAAUGGCCAUGGAAACUGGCGAGCUGGAGUGUGGCAGAGGGGGGUGGAAUUCCGCGUGUAGCAGUGAAAUGCGUAGAGAUGCGGAGGAACACCGAUGGCGAAGGCAGCUCGCUGGGACGUUACUGACGCUGAGACGCGAAAGCGUGGGGAGCAAACAGG
RNAcentral lists this ribosomal RNA (253 nucleotides) under uncultured bacterium. Its description in RNAcentral is "partial 16S ribosomal RNA". It matches the Rfam family "Bacterial small subunit ribosomal RNA", at positions 524 to 776 of the family's 1533-position model. The record is from RNAcentral.